AGAGUUUGAUCAUGGCUCAGAUUGAACGCUGGCGGCAUGCGUAACACAUGCAAGUCGAACGGUGUUUGGUGCUUGCACCAGACAUAGUGGCGGACGGGUGAGUAAUGCGUAGGAAUCUGUCUUAGAGAGGGGGACAACCCGAGGAAACUUGGGCUAAAACCGCAUAUUCUCGAGAGAGGAAAGCAGGGGACCGGAAACGGCCUUGUGCUCUAAGGUGAGCCUACGUCGGAUUAGCUAGUUGGUAGGGUAAAAGCCUACCAAGGCGAUGAUCUGUAGCUGGUCUGAGAGGACGGACAGCCACACUGGGACUGAGACACGGCCCAGACUCCUACGGAGGCAGCAGUGGGGAAUAUUGGACAAUGGGGGGAACCCUGAUCCAGCGAUGCCGCGUGUGUGAAGAAGGCCUGCGGGUUGUAAAGCACUUUCAGUGGGAAAGAGAAGCGUCUUGUGAAUAAUGGGACGUGGAGACGUUACUCACAGAAGAAGCACCGGCUAACUCUGUG
RNAcentral lists this ribosomal RNA (503 nucleotides) under uncultured bacterium. RNAcentral's name for it is "bacterial SSU rRNA". It matches the Rfam family "Bacterial small subunit ribosomal RNA", at positions 8 to 507 of the family's 1533-position model. The record is from RNAcentral.